Molecule: ribosomal RNA, 465 nt
Filed under: Vreelandella stevensii
Lineage: Bacteria; Pseudomonadati; Pseudomonadota; Gammaproteobacteria; Oceanospirillales; Halomonadaceae
Description: partial 16S ribosomal RNA
Rfam family: Bacterial small subunit ribosomal RNA
Source: RNAcentral
CCUACGGGAGGCUGCAGUGGGGAAUAUUGGACAAUGGGGGCAACCCUGAUCCAGCCAUGCUGCGUGUGUGAAGAAGGCCCUCGGGUUGUAAAGCACUUUCAGUGAGGAAGAACGCCUGGUGGUUAAUACCCAUCAGGAAAGACAUCACUCACAGAAGAAGCACCGGCUAACUCCGUGCCAGCAGCCGCGGUAAUACGGAGGGUGCGAGCGUUAAUCGGAAUUACUGGGCGUAAAGCGCGCGUAGGUGGCUUGAUAAGCCGGUUGUGAAAGCCCCGGGCUCAACCUGGGAACGGCAUCCGGAACUGUCAAGCUAGAGUGCAGGAGAGGAAGGUAGAAUUCCCGGUGUAGCGGUGAAAUGCGUAGAGAUCGGGAGGAAUACCAGUGGCGAAGGCGGCCUUCUGGACUGACACUGACACUGAGGUGCGAAAGCGUGGGUAGCAAACAGGAUUAGAUACCCUAGUAGUC